ACCUAGCUGGCUGAGUCAGUAGAGCGUGUGACUCUUGAUCUUGGGGUUGUGGGUUCAAGCCCCACGUUGGGUG
Molecule: transfer RNA, 73 nt
Filed under: Mustela putorius furo (domestic ferret)
Lineage: Eukaryota; Metazoa; Chordata; Mammalia; Carnivora; Mustelidae
Rfam family: tRNA
About the family: Transfer RNA (tRNA) molecules are approximately 80 nucleotides in length. Their secondary structure includes four short double-helical elements and three loops (D, anti-codon, and T loops).
Source: Rfam by way of RNAcentral